This 1804-nucleotide long non-coding RNA is filed under the name Volvox carteri. RNAcentral's name for it is "long non-coding RNA (VCAR_LNC003727)". The record is from RNAcentral. Lineage: Eukaryota; Viridiplantae; Chlorophyta; Chlorophyceae; Chlamydomonadales; Volvocaceae.
UUUAAGUCGAUUGCUUGGGCGAACAUGCGAAGACAACACCGUAUCCUAUCAGCUCCAUCCAAGUAACACUAUCCACAGAGUUAGAUCCCGAGAACAGUGCAUUAAAAUAAGUAAAUGUACCGCGUCUCGACACUUCAGAGGAAAAGCAGCAGGUACCCCUCCAACCUGUCAAAGCCCAGCACUUGACGGGAUCGCGGCCAUCUGACGACAUUACCUGCAAUACCACCACCUCUUCAUUUCACAGGUGGGCCCGGUCGGUCUCGCAUUGCGGAGACGGCGUCGUCUGCCGUCUACACACCGGAGUCAGCGUCAACCGGAGUCGUAUCAGAGGAGAACCCGCCACAUGUUGUACGUAACUGUUCCGCGAGGGGAGGUCUUGUCUCAUUAAAUGAUUGUUAACAUCCGGCUGGAAGUGAAAUCGGCUAAUAGGCAAUGGCUAUUAUAAGCGCGGCUAUACAGUUAUACAGCUAUACAGUUAUUCCGUUAUACAGUUAUAUACAGUUAAGGCACUACUGGUAACGCACACCGAUGCCCCCGGAGGUUCCGGGCUCGAGACCUGUCAGGGUCGAGAAAUCCUUCCGAUGGUGGAAGGUAAGAGCGCCCCUAGUCGAUGGACGGUGGUGACCUGGGAUAAAGUAGACCUGCGAGCUGGUCAGGAAUGGAGUUGAGCCGCCGUUGAUCCGGCAGAUUCUGUUGGAUGCCGGUUGGGGGUGGUGGAUGCCGGUGCUGGACCUGAGCGACCCACUGACAAGUCGGCUAGGGUGACUGGAUGAGGAUGCCCCGAAAGACCGUGGAAGGCAGGGUUUCGCCAGGUAGCGGCCACGGGUGAAGAUAUGCCCUCCUGCCCCACACAUCAUAAGCGCAGUGGUUGUCCUGCCUGCCCCAGCCAUGAAGGGAAAGGGGCCCGGGACCUGGCACCUCGGGAAUCAAGGCCCCUAUCCGGGUGAGCUCAGAGGCAUGUGGGGUCCACUGGUGCGCACCGACGAAAACAAGUUGCGGGUGGGUGCGCUGCACUCAUGUGGCGGGCAGUGGCGCUGUCACGGCAGUAAUCCGCGAGGGGAGGCUGCUGCCCGCCCCAGCCGGCGCGGAGUAUCACACCGGGGAAUGCGGCAUUCAACUGGUACCCGGCAACGGCGGGGGUAGGACUGUACGUUUCAAAAUAAUGCCGUCGGUGCUGACCCCCUGCGUGAAUGGCUUGAGGGUCCGCUUCGAGCUCCCCAGAGUGAGGCUCCCGCCGCGUGGCCCUGCCAACCGGUGGCCGCCCCAGUGUGAGUGACCACCCAGGUCACGUGACCCGGAGGGGAUGAGGCCGGUGGUAUCCCGGUGGGCACCCGGGGUUAGCAGGUGCCAAGGGGGAUGUGUGGUGCCCUCCGGACGGAGGGGAGGGAAGUGUACGGCAGUAAUAUCAAAUUGCGGUUCUUGGGACCCAAUGAGCGCCAACCAUGUACAUGUUUGACGCCGUACGAAUGGCGUACAGAGGUACACCACCAUGUGUGUGUUGUGUCCGUGUAUACCGCGCCACCGCAUGUGUGAGCUGUUGGCUGUCCGCGCUGAUCCGCGGCCGACGGGGAGGCGGCUACUCCCCACUUGUAAUUUAGCAUCCACACUGUUGAGUCAGCAGCCGGGGACCCAGCUGUUGCCUACUCAGGCCUCUGUUGUUAGCUGUUUGCAAAAACACUCGUCCCGAUUGGACUGCCAGUUAAAAGCGGGUCGCUUCGGUCUCUCUCGCACCCGAGCAGCCGGCCUCACUCUGGCCAUUUCCAUCUCUACUGCUGAUGUCCCGAUUGACGACAUGCAAACUGGU